This 124-nucleotide unclassified non-coding RNA is filed under the name Rhodotorula toruloides. The record is from RNAcentral. Lineage: Eukaryota; Fungi; Basidiomycota; Microbotryomycetes; Sporidiobolales; Sporidiobolaceae.
AAGACGAGCAAGCUGCGUGAUAUCACGAGAGUCAGUACCGGUCAAGGCGAGCCUGAAAGCCAACGGCGAUGCUCGACGAGUGCGACGCUCAGCUCGCCUGCGUCGGGCCCAAAGUUGCCAUUGG